This 791-nucleotide ribosomal RNA is filed under the name uncultured bacterium. Its description in RNAcentral is "bacterial SSU rRNA". It matches the Rfam family "Bacterial small subunit ribosomal RNA", at positions 8 to 796 of the family's 1533-position model. The record is from RNAcentral.
AGAGUUUGAUCAUGGCUCAGAACGAACGUUGUCGGCGUGGAUUAGGCAUGCAAGUCGAACGAGAACCAGCCUUGUAGCAAUACCGGGUUGGGGAAAGUGGCGAAAGGGGCAGUAAUGCGUGGGUAACCUACCCUGGGGACCGGGAUAGCCAUUCUAACGAGUGGGUAAUACUGGGCGAUCUGGCUGAGGCGCAUGUCUUGGCCAGCAAAUGAAUUUCGCCCCGGGAGGGGCUCACGUGGUAUUAGCUAGUUGGUAGGGUAACGGCCUACCAAGGCGUAGAUGCCUAGCGGGUGUGAGAGCACGACCCGCGCCACUGGCACUGAGACACUGGCCAGACUCCUACGGGAGGCUGCAGUCGAGGAUCUUCGGCAAUGGGCGCAAGCCUGACCGAGCGACGCCGAGUGCGCGAUGAAGGCCUUCGGGUUGUAAAGCGCUGUCGAGGGGGAGGAAAGCCCGCAAGGGUCUGACCUAUCCCUGGAGGAAGCACGGGCUAAGUUCGUGCCAGCAGCCGCGGUAAGACGAACCGUGCGAACGUUGUUCGGAAUCACUGGGCUUAAAGGGCGCGUAGGCGGUCGAUCACGUCCGGGGUGAAAGCUUUCGGCUUAACCGGAAAAGUGCCUUGGAUACGGAUCGGCUUGAGGGAGGUAGGGGCAAGUGGAACUUCCGGUGGAGCGGUGAAAUGCGUUGAUAUCGGAAGGAACGCCGGUGGCGAAAGCGACUUGCUGGAUCUCUUCUGACGCUGAGUGCGCGAAAGCUAGGGGAGCGAACGGGAUUAGAUACCCCAGUAGUCC